This 274-nucleotide ribosomal RNA is filed under the name uncultured bacterium. RNAcentral's name for it is "partial 16S ribosomal RNA". It matches the Rfam family "Bacterial small subunit ribosomal RNA", at positions 523 to 796 of the family's 1533-position model. The record is from RNAcentral.
AUACGGAGGGUCCAAGCGUUAUCCGGAUUCAUUGGGUUUAAAGGGUCCGCAGGCGGGAAAAUAAGUCAGUGGUGAAGGCCUACAGCUCAACUGUAGAACUGCCAUUGAAACUGUUUUUCUUGAGUAUAGAUGAAGUGGGCGGAAUAUAUCAUGUAGCGGUGAAAUGCAUAGAUAUGAUAUAGAACACCGAUUGCGAAGGCAGCUCACUAAACUAUUACUGACGCUCAGGGACGAAAGCGUGGGGAGCGAACAGGAUUAGAAACCCUAGUAGUCC